GCCUUAAUGCCUCCCAGCCAGCAUGGUGGAUAUGACCCUCGAUUUUUAAUCGAGUGGGUUCGGGUACGAAUCCCGAGUAAGGCA
Trichonephila inaurata madagascariensis is the source of this 84-nucleotide non-coding RNA. NCBI's taxonomy places the organism in Eukaryota, Metazoa, Arthropoda, Arachnida, Araneae, Nephilidae. The record is from the annotation of a GenBank genome assembly.